CCAAUAGCGUAUAUUAAAGUUGUUGCAGUUAAAAAGCUCGUAGUUGAACUUCGGGGUUCACCCAUUGGUCAGGCUUAAUUGUCUGCACUGGUGAGAUGAGUCUCUACCUUCUGAGGAACUUUCAUGCCAUUUAUUUGGUGUGGUUGGAAAUCAGGACUGUUACUUUGAAAAAAUUAGAGUGUUUAAAGCAGGCUAACGUCUGAAUACAUUAGCAUGGAAUAAUGAAAUAGGACGGACUGAUUCUAUUUCGUUGGUUUCUAGGAUCACCGUAAUGAUUAAUGGGGAUAGUUGGGGGCAUUAGUAUUCAAUUGUCAGAGGUGAAAUUCUUGGAUUUAUUGAAGACUAACUACUGCGAAAGCAUUUGCCAAGGAUGUUUUCAUUAAUCAAGAACGAAAGUUAGGGGAUCGAAGACGAUCAGAUACCGUCGUAGUCUUAACCAUAAACUAUGCCGACUAGGGAUCGGAUGAUGUUAAUUUUUUAAUGACUCAUUCGGCGCCUUACG
RNAcentral lists this ribosomal RNA (502 nucleotides) under uncultured Glomeromycotina. RNAcentral's name for it is "partial small subunit ribosomal RNA". It matches the Rfam family "Eukaryotic small subunit ribosomal RNA", at positions 591 to 1092 of the family's 1831-position model. Lineage: Eukaryota; Fungi; Glomeromycota. The record is from RNAcentral.